GAAACAGAAUCUGAAAUUUCAUUAUCCCAGCCGUAAACCUCUCACCCACACCCCCAAGCUCGAAACCGAACGGCUCCGCUCCACCGGCCAAAUGCACCCGCUCCGGCGUCUACCCGCGCUGCCGCUGCUGCUGCUGCCGCAUGGCUCCACGCCCCGCCGCAUCCUCGCCACCGGGGCCUCCGCUGCCUCGCCGCUACCGUGGCCGGGGCUCCACGCCUGGCGCCGGGCUUCUCCCAGCGACCUCCGCUCGUGGGGCCCGCACGGCCCCUGCGCCCCGGACACGGACGACACGGGCCCGCCAGAAGCCUGCGCCGCCGCCGGCAACGGCUCGUCCUUGGCCGAGAUGGGCGCCCUCGUGCUGUCCACCGCCGACCCCCUCGCCAAGGCGCAGCUCACCCACGCCGCCUUCUCCCAGUGGGCGACGGGCGGGCUCCCCGUUGGCCUGGCUCGGGCCCCCGACCACCCCGCCAGGCCGGACAAGCCCCUCGUGGUGACGCAGAAGGAGAUCACCACGCACAAGGCGAUGGGGGUGCCGCUGAACGCGUACAUGCUCCACAACCUGGCGCACGUCGAGCUCAAUGCCAUCGAUCUUGCUUGGGAUACUGUAGUGCGGUUCUCGCCACUCCAGGACACCCUGGGAGAUGGCUUCUUCGCGGAUUUUGCACGCGUGGCUGAUGAUGAGAGCCGACAUUUUCGGUGGUAUUCGCAACGGCUUGCAGAACUUGGGUUCAGGUAUGGCGAUAUGCCUGUUCACAAUCUUCUGUGGAGGGAGUGUGCAAAAUCCUCAACUGAUGUUUCUGCACGGAUGGCAGUGAUACCAUUAGUACAGGAAGCUAGAGGCCUUGAUGCCGGACCAAGGCUAGUGCAAAAGUUACUUGGCUUUGCGGAUCAUAGAUCUGCAGACAUUGUGGCAAAAGUAGCAGAGGAAGAGCUUGCACAUGUAUCUGUAGGUUUAUUUUGGUUUCUGAAAGUAUGCCAAAUGAUGGGUCGUGUCCCGGGUGCUACUUUUAGAGACUUAAUAAAGGAGCAUGGCGUUGUAAUGAAGGGUCCAUUUAACUAUCCAUCUCGUGAUGAAGCUGGUAUACCGCGAGAAUGGUACGAUGAGAAUUUUAAACAUGAAGCUGCAAGUAAACUUUCAGAGGUACAUGAUAGGCUAGCUUGUGUUGUUGAGAUGGAGAAAGAGAAUGCAAGUUGAAUGGCUAUGUCUCACCUGAUGAGUGCAUGGGAGACUUGGUAGGUACUACAUGGCUAGCUGGAAGGAAUGCUGCUUUGCCAAGUUGCUGCUUCAUGAGGCAACAUACGCAGAAACGUUUCAAAGUUGUGCAGUCUGUGCUCUGUACAGUAACCAUCAGGACUGUUUAUCAACUCGAGCCAUAAUUUGCUGCCGAGAGCCAAGUGUUGUUGGCAUGAACAACGAGUGCUGAAGAGCAAAUAUACUGGACAACAGUUGCCAAAAGCCAAAUAUACACUGGACAACACGGUAAAUGUGCAAAUGUUUCAUUUGUUUGGGAUGGAGUAUGUUGGUCCGCCUUGUGAUUUAUGUGCAGACGUGCAAAUGUGCAAUGUCGCGAACAGCCUAUUUUCUUCUUGCGUGCUUGGCGUCGCUAUCUGGCGUUAACACUUAACAGUCCUGAAAUUUUGUCUCAGUGAGCUGUCCUCUUCUAUGUUU
RNA transcript from Brachypodium distachyon (stiff brome), 1669 nucleotides. RefSeq lists it as uncharacterized. The transcript has 8 exons. NCBI's taxonomy places the organism in Eukaryota, Viridiplantae, Streptophyta, Magnoliopsida, Poales, Poaceae. The record is from RefSeq and is a predicted model, not a curated record.